Molecule: ribosomal RNA, 441 nt
Filed under: uncultured bacterium
Lineage: Bacteria
Description: partial 16S ribosomal RNA
Rfam family: Bacterial small subunit ribosomal RNA
Source: RNAcentral
CCUACGGGGGGCUGCAGUGGGGAAUAUUGGGCAAUGGGCGCAAGCCUGACCCAGCAACGCCGCGUGAAGGAAGAAGGCUUUCGGGUUGUAAACUUCUUUUAAGAGGGAAGAGCAGAAGACGGUACCUCUUGAAUAAGCCACGGCUAACUACGUGCCAGCAGCCGCGGUAAUACGUAGGUGGCAAGCGUUGUCCGGAUUUACUGGGUGUAAAGGGCGUGUAGCCGGGCUGACAAGUCAGAUGUGAAAUCCCGUGGCUCAACCACGGAACUGCAUUUAAAACUGUCGGUCUUGAGGAUCGGAGAGGCAGGGGGAUUUCCUGGGGUAGCGGUGAAAUGCGUGGAUAUUAGGAGGAACACCAGUGGCGAGGGCGGCCUGCUGGACGACAACUGACGGUGAGGCGCGAAAGCGUGGGGAGCAAACAGGAUUAGAUACCCCUGUAGU